Non-coding RNA from Macaca mulatta (Rhesus monkey), 231 nucleotides. Lineage: Eukaryota; Metazoa; Chordata; Mammalia; Primates; Cercopithecidae. The record is from RefSeq and is a predicted model, not a curated record.
UUCAACCAAUUCUCCUGCCUCAGCCUCCUGAGUAGCUGGGAUUACAGGCAACAACUGGAAACAACCCAAGUGUCCGUCAGCUAGAGAAUGGAUAGACCCAUGUGGUCUGUGCAUACAGUGGAGUGCUGCUCAGUUAUACAAAGAAAAGAAACUGGUUACAGGCCACAGGAGGGAUGACUUCAAAACAUUACAACUUUCACCUUUGUCAGUCAGGCUGGAGUGCAAUGGUGC